CAGCGAUUCCACCUAGUCUCUUCCGUAAAGACAAAUUAUAAAAAUCAACCUCAGAAUGUUUACAAAGGAACAGAUGGUCGGCAGUUUACAUUAUCAUCUAAUGAGCAUAUUACAUAUUUGAAUGGCCAGCGAUGCACAAAUGUUGUAUAGAUUUUGUUAAAAUAUUAUCAAGUGAUGCUCAGGCUAAAGAGAUGAAUGGCCAAUCAGUGAAAUUGUGUGUGUGUGUGCGCAUGCACCUGUGUAAUAAGUUUUCAUCAAGGUCUUCUAUCAAGUGCAUCAAGUUCUAGUGGAACUUGCAAUAUUAUUAUUAAAAUCAUAAACAGAAAACAAUUAGAAAAUAUGGGAAUCAGAGUGUAAGUGAGCUGGGCAGGUGAUGUGUCUUCAGAAAAUGAAGACAGAAAGAAAAGAGAGUUUUCUUGCAUCCCUUUUAUACUGUCUCUUGUUGUGAUUAAAUCUCUUUCUAGAUGGUCCAAAAAUUUUUCAAAAGUAGGUUUUCCUUUUCUCCUUUUAGAAGCCAAUUUCCUUUGAAACCUGGAGACAAAAUGUUUGUCUGCUACAUUGCUUAUUUAUGAAGAUCCAUUGUUCUCCCUCCACGAGUACUGUAGCUAACUACAGAAUCAUCCCUCCCAUGUUUAUUGAACUCUUUGCCUGCAGCUAGUAAAGCAAACAUCAGCAGAGUCAGCCAGAGGAUGCCUCCAGUAUGAACCUUCCGCUUAUUCAUUCUAGACAAAAUUUAAUGCCUAAGGAUGUCUCCAAAGUCAAGUUGAUUCCCCAGACAGGCAUUAUGCACAGCAGAAAAGCCCUUUCUGCUCAGGCUGGAGCUCAAAGAUCACCUCCAUGAUGUGGAAUGAUUCUCCAUGAGAAUGGAGUCUUUGGUUUCUCUACUCUCAGGAGAGUUGUUUAUGGCCAUUUAUACUUUUUGUAUAACGAGGACACCUGUUCACUAAUAACUGAACUGGAGGUAUUGCAACACAGGGCAUUAAAAAAAAAAAUAGCACAGGAAUGUACUGCUGGUCACACAUAUACACACUCAGAGAUCUUUGCUUUUGGUAGCUUAACGGACCAUAGCUUUCAUAAGUAGCUAAAUUGGCUUACAGAUUUUUCUGGUAUUUAUGGCAUUUCCUUUUAAUAAGCAGUUAUUAUAGUUGAAUAACUAAUUACUUUAUAGCAGGUGUAUCCGAUAUCAUGGGGCUAUCAUCAAUUACAGUGCUUUAUCACUGCUCUUCCUGUGUCAUAAGGUAAUAAUCAAAGACAGAGCUUGAAGGAAACAAAAUGAGUUCUGUUAGUGAAGCAAAUUAAGAUUUCAUUUUCAGUGUGACUCAAUAUGCUUGAUUGCUACAUAAACCAGCAUAGGCAAGGAACAAUAAGUCUAUUGAAGUGAUUUGUAUUGAAUGAGUGAC
Molecule: long non-coding RNA, 1400 nt
Filed under: Marmota monax (woodchuck)
Lineage: Eukaryota; Metazoa; Chordata; Mammalia; Rodentia; Sciuridae
Source: RNAcentral